AUGGAACAGGCGGCGUUUACGGGGCCAAACCCGGGACAGCGUUUCCCUUUUGCAACCCGCCCUGGCCCCGGGGCGGCGUUUUUCCACCCUUUUUCCACCCUUUCUUUCACCCUUUUUCCACCCUUUUCACCCUUCCUUUUUCACCCUUUUCCCCCCCCUUUUUCCACCCUUUUUCACCCUUUUCCCCCCCUUUUUUCACCCUUUUCCCCACCCUUUUUCCACCCUUUUCCCGUCCUUUUUCCACCCUUUUUUCACCCUUUUUUCACCCUUUUUUUCACCCUUUUUCCACCCUUUUUCACCCUUUUCCCCCCCUUUUUUCACCCUUUUUUCACCCUUUUUCCGCCCUUUUUCCGCCCUUUUUCCACCCUUUUUCACCCUUUUUUCACCCUUUUCCCACCCUUUUUUCACCCUUUUCCCACCCUUUUCCCGUCCUUUCCCCACCCUUUCCCCCCCCUUUUGUCACCCUUUUUUCACCCUUUUUCCACCCUUUUUCCGCCCUUUUCCCACCCUUUUCCACCCUUUUUUCCUCCCUUUUCCCUCCCUUUUUCCACCCUUUUUUCACCCUUUUCCCACCCUUUUUUCACCCUUUUUUCACCCUUUUCCCACCCUUUUCCCACCCUUUUCCCACCCUUUUUCACCCUUUUCCCAUCCUUUUUUCACCCUUUUCCCCACCCUUUUUCCACCCUUUUCCCGUCCUUUCCCCACCUUCCCCCCCCCCUUUUUCCACCCUUUUUUCACCCUUUUUCCUCCCUUUUUCCACCCUUUUUCACCCUUUUCCACCCUUUUUCCACCCUUUCCCCACCUUUUUCACCCUUUUUCCACCCUUUUUCCUCCCUUUCCCCACCCUUUUCCCACCCUUUUUUCACAUUUUUCCCCACCCUUUUUUCACCCUUUUCCCACCCUUUUCCCACCCUUUUUUCACCCUUUUUUCACCCUUUCCCCACCCUUUCCCCACCCUUUUCCCACCCUUUUCCCACCCUUUUCCCACCCUUUUCCCACCUUUUUCCCCACCCUUUUUUCCCCUUUUUCCCCACCCUUUUUUCACCCUUUUCCCACCCUUUUCCACCCUUUUUUCACCCUUUUCCCACCCUUUUCCCCCAUUUUUUUCCUCCCUUUUCCCUCCCUUUUUCCACCCUUUUUUCACCCUUUUCCCACCCUUUUUUCACCCUUUUUUCACCCUUUUCCCACCCUUUUCCCACCCUUUUUUCACCCUUUUUUCACCCUUUUCCCCACCCUUUUUCCACCCUUUUCCCGUCCUUUCCCCACCUUCCCCCCCCCCUUUUUCCACCCUUUUUUCACCCUUUUUCCUCCCUUUUUCCACCCUUUUUCACCCUUUUCCCACCCUUUUUCCACCCUUUUUCCUCCCUUUUCCCACCCUUUUUCCUCCCUUUUCCCACCCUUUUCCCACCCUUUUUUCACCCUUUUUUCACCCUUUUCCCACCCUUUUCCCACCCUUUUCCCACCCUUUUCCCACCCUUUUUUCACCCUUUUUUCACCCUUUUCCCACCCUUUUCCCACCCUUUUCCCACCCUUUUUUCACCCUUUUCCCCAUCCUUUUUUCACCCUUUUCCUACCCUUUUUUCACCCUUUUUCCACCCUUUUUCCACCCUUUUUCACCCUUUUCCACCCUUUUACCUCCCUUUUUCCACCCCUUUUUCACCCUUUCCCGCCCUUUUUUCACCCUUUUCCCACCCUUUUUCCACCCUUUUUCCCACCCUUUUCCCCCCUCUUUUCCACCCUUUUCCCACCCUUUUCCCACCCUUUUCCCACCCUUUUCCCACCCUUUUUUCACCCUUCCCCCCCCCUUUUUUCACCCUUUUUCCACCCUUUUUCCACACUUUUUCCACCCUUUUCCCACCCUUUUUUCACCCUUUUCCCCGCCUUUUUCCACCCUUUUCCCACCCUUUUCCCACCCUUUUUUCACCCUUUUCCCACCUUUUUUCCACCCUUUUUUCACCCUUUCCCCCCCCUUUUUCCACCCUUUUUCCACCCUUUUCCCACCCUUUUUUCACCCUUUUCCCACCCUUUUCCCACCCUUUCCCACCCUUUCCCACCCUUUUCGCUGGACGCGGCCGCUCGCGGGAUCAAAGGGGGCGCGGGGGCCUCCGGGGGUGGGUGGGGGACGGGACCUUGGCCAAAGCAGCGGCCAAAUCCCGGCCCCUCUCCCUGCCCCAUCCCUCCGGGAUGCGAUCCCACGGCGUGGGGGAGAGGGAGGGAGGGAGGGAGGAGGCACCUGGAAUGCUGAGAUUCCAUGGCGGGGUCCCAUUCCAACCCCCCCUCCCCAAAAUCUGGGUGCUGCCUGCGCCUGGGUGCUCCUUAUCCCGGAUUCUCCUUAUCCUGGGUGUUCCGUAUCCCUGGAUUUUCCCUGUCCCGGGUGUUCCUUAUCCCUGGAUUCUCCCUGUCCCGGGUGUUCCUUAUCCCUGGAUUCUCCCUGUCCUGGGUGUUCCUUAUCCCGCAUUUUCCCUGUCCUGGGUGUUCCUUAUCCCGCAUUUUCCCUGUCCGGGGUGUUCCUUAUCCUGGAUUCUCCCUGUCCCGGGUGUUCCUUAUCCCUGGAUUCUCCCUGUCCUGGGUGUUCCUUAUCCCGCAUUUUCCCUGUCCUGGGUGUUCCUUAUCCUGGAUUCUCCCUGUCCCGGGUGUUCCGUAUCCCUGGAUUCUCCCUGUCCUGGGUGUUCCUUAUCCCGCAUUUUCCCUGUCCCGGGUGUUCCUUAUCCCGCAUUCUCCCUGUCCCGGGUGUUCCUUAUCCCUGGAUUUUCCCUGUCCCGGGUGUUCCUUAUCCCUGGAUUCUCCCUGUCCCGGGUGUUCCUUAUCCCGCAUUUUCCCUGUCCUGGGUGUUCCUUAUCCUGGAUUCUCCCUGUCCCGGGUGUUCCUUAUCCCGCAUUUUCCCUGUCCGGGGUGUUCCUUAUCCCGCAUUUUCCCUGUCCUGGGUGUUCCUUAUCCUGGAUUCUCCCUGUCCCGGGUGUUCCUUAUCCCUGGAUUCUCCCUGUCCUGGGUGUUCCUUAUCCCGCAUUUUCCCUGUCCUGGGUGUUCCUUAUCCUGGAUUCUCCCUGUCCUGGGUGUUCCUUAUCCCGCAUUUUCCCUGUCCUGGGUGUUCCUUAUCCUGGAUUCUCCCUGUCCCGGGUGUUCCUUAUCCCACAUUUUCCCUGUCCUGGGUGUUCCUUAUCCUGGAUUCUCCCUGUCCCGGGUGUUCCUUAUCCCACAUUUUCCCUGUCCUGGGUGUUCCUUAUCCUGGAUUCUCCCUGUCCUGGGUGUUCCUUAUCCCGCAUUCUCCCUGUCCCGGGUGUUCCUUAUCCCGCAUUUUCCCUGUCCUGGGUGUUCCUUAUCCCGGAUUCUCCCUGUCCUGGGUGUUCCUUAUCCCGCAUUUUCCCUGUCCUGGGUGUUCCUUAUCCCGCAUUCUCCCUGUCCCGGGUGUUCCUUAUCCCGCAUUCUCCCUGUCCCGGGUGUUCCUUAUCCCUGGAUUCUCCCUGUCCCGGGUGUUCCUUAUCCCGCAUUCUCCCUGUCCUGGGUGUUCCUUAUCCCUGGAUUUUCCCUGUCCCGGGUGCUCCUUAUCCCUGGAUUUUCCCUGCCCUGGGUGUUCCUUUUCCCUGGAUUUUCCCUGUCCCGGGUGUUCCUUAUCCCGCAUUUUCCCUGCCCUGGGUGUUCCUUAUCCCGGAUUUUCCCUGUCCCGGGUGUUCCUUAUCCCGGAUUCUCCUUAUCCUGGGUGUUCCUUAUCCCGGAUUCUCCUUAUCCUGGGUGCUGUUUUUUCCUGGGUCCUGCUUUUCCCCGCAUCCCGAUUUUCCCCGGGUGCCAGGAAUUGUCCCCACCGGGCUCCGCGUCCCAUUCCCAGGGAAACCCGCGGGAUGCUCCCAAGGCAGCGGGAGGGGAAGGGCCGGGAUCCGGGAUCCUGUGGGAAUGCGGGAAUGUGGGAAUCUGGGAAUGUGGGAAUGCGGGAAUGCGGGAGUGUGGGAAUGUGGGAAUGCGGGAAUCUGGGAAUGCGGGAAUGCGGGAAUGCGGGAAUCCGGGAAUGUGGGAAUCUGGGAUCCUGUGGGAAUCUGGGAUCCUGUGGGAAUGCGGGAAUGCGGGAUCCUGUGGGAAUGCGGGAAUGCGGGAUCCUGUGGGAAUGCGUGAAUCUGGGAAUGCGGGAAUGUGGGAAUGCGGGAAUGCGGGAAUGUGGGAAUCUGGGAAUGCGGGAUCCUGUGGGAAUGUGGGAAUGUGGGAAUGCGGGAAUGCGGGAAUGUGGGAAUCUGGGAAUGCGGGAUCCUGUGGGAAUGUGGGAAUGCGGGAAUGCGGGAAUGCGGGAAUCUGGGAAUCUGGGAAUGUGGGAAUGUGGGAAUGCGGGAGUGUGGGAAUGUGGGAAUGCGGGAGUGUGGGAAUGCGGGAAUGUGGUAAUGCGGGAAUGCGGGAAUGUGGGAAUCUGGGAAUGCGGGAAUGCGGGAAUACGGGAAUGCGGGAAUGUGGGAAUGCGGGAGUGUGGGAAUGUGGGAAUCUGGGAAUGUGGGAAUGCGGGAAUGUGGGAAUGCGGGAGUGUGGGAAUCUGGGAAUGUGGGAAUGCGGGAAUGCGGGAAUGUGGGAAUGUGGGAAUCUGGGAAUGUGGGAAUGCAUUCCGCCACCUGCUUGGCUUGGGGCGGGGCAGAGGGAAGCGGCUCCCGCUGCUAUUCCUGGAGCCGGGAAGGAAAACUGGGGGGGGAAAGGCGAAAAAAGGGGGGGAAACGGCAAAAAAAAAGAAGGAAAAAGAGGGGAAAGGGGGGGAAAAAGGGGGAAAAAGCGAAAAAUGAGAAUUGGGAUGGGAAAGGCUCAGCUGCUCCUUUCCCCCCCUCCUCCAGGCCCCAUUCCAAGCGGGAAUAGCAGAGCAGGGAAGGGAACGGGAGCCCGGAGCCGGCAGCUCCCGGCCCGCCCCGGUAAUUUGGGAUGGCCAGAUCCCAAAAAAAGAAAGAAAAAAAAAAAGAUGGGAAGAGGAUGCGCCAGCACGAGCAGGGAUGGAGAGGCUUUUUUUGGGAUAUUCCCUCUCUCCUCCCACAGCAUCCCCCCAAAAAAACCCCUAAAAACCCCACAGGGAAGCGGGAACUGGGGAAAAGGGGGUUCCAGCACCCCGUGAUCCCAAAUCCAUGAGCGCAGCCGGGAAUAAGGAGCUGGGGAAGGACCUCGGGAAGAGGAUUUUUGGGUUGGUUUUGUUUUUUUCUUCGGAAGAAUGGAAAAUGUAAUGACAGGGUCUGGAUGAAAAGAACAAAAGGAAGCAGCUGGAAAGGCCCUAAAUAGAGAAAAACCCACAAAACCACAAAAGGGUGAGAGGGAACAGGGGGUGAAAGGGGAAGGGAAGGAUUGGGAUCCCUUUCCGCGGCCCCAUAGAGGGGUUUGGGGCUGCCUUAGGGGGGAGAGGAACGGGGUGAGGGGUGGGAGGGCGGGAAAUGACCCCAAAAUGCGUCCCCUGUGUCCCCUCCCUGCCGCUGCUCCUGCCCGGGGGGUGCAGAGGGGGCUCCUGCAGCCCCUGUCCCCAAAUGGGGCAUCCCUGGGGACCCCAAAUGGGGCAUCCCUGGGGACCCCAAAUGGGGCAUCCCUGGGGACCCCAAAUGGGGCAUCCCUGGGGACCCCAAAUGGGGCAUCCCUGGGACCCCAAAUGGGGCAUCUCUGGGACCCCAAAUGGGGCAUCCCUGGGGACCCCAAAUGGGGCAUCCCUGGGGAUCCCAAAGUGAAGCAUCCCUGGGACCCCAAAUGGGGCAUCCCUGGGGACCCCAAAUGGGGCAUCCCUGGGACCCCAAAUGGGGCAUCCCUGGGGAUCCCGAAUGGGGCAUCCCUGGGGAUCCCAAAGUGAAGCAUCCCUGGGACCCCAAAUGGGGCAUCCCUGGGGACCCCAAAUGGGGCAUCCCUGGGACCCCAAAUGGGGCAUCCCUGGGGAUCCCGAAUGGGGCAUCCCUGGGACCCCAAAUGGGGCAUCUCUGGGACCCCAAAUGGGGCAUCUCUGGGGACCCCAAAUGGGGCAUCCCUGGGGAUCCCAAAGUGAAGCAUCCCUGGGACCCCAAAUGGGGCAUCCCUGGGGACCCCAAAUGGGGCAUCCCUGGGGAUCCCAAACCGGAGCAUCCCUGGGGACCCCAAAUGGGGCAUCCCUGGGACCCCAAAUGGGGCAUCCCUGGGGACCCCAAAUGGGGCAUCCCUGGGGAUCCCAAAUGGGG
This 6143-nucleotide long non-coding RNA is filed under the name Corvus moneduloides (New Caledonian crow). RNAcentral's name for it is "lncRNA (ENSCMUG00000019070.1)". The record is from RNAcentral. Lineage: Eukaryota; Metazoa; Chordata; Aves; Passeriformes; Corvidae.